RNAcentral lists this ribosomal RNA (698 nucleotides) under Issidae aff. Eusarima sp. MW-2016. Its description in RNAcentral is "eukaryotic LSU rRNA". It matches the Rfam family "Eukaryotic large subunit ribosomal RNA", at positions 1290 to 1870 of the family's 3401-position model. Lineage: Eukaryota; Metazoa; Arthropoda; Insecta; Hemiptera; Issidae. The record is from RNAcentral.
UCACCUGCCGAAGCAACUAGCCCUGAAAAUGGAUGGCGCUCUAGCGUCGUGCCUAUACCGGGCCGUCAACGGCAAAGCGGGCCGGUGCCCCGUCGGCCCCAGGCCGGCGGGCUCGGCCGUUAAGCCUUGACGAGUAGGAGGCGCGCGGCGGUGUGCGCAGAAGGGUCCGGGCGCGAGCCUGCCUGGAGCCGCCGUCGGUGCAGAUCUUGGUGGUAGUAGCAAAUACUCUAGCGAGGGCCUGGAGGGCUGAUGUGGAGAAGGGUUUCUUGUGAACAGCCGUUGCACAAGAGUCAGUCGACCCUAAGCCCUAGGAGAAAUCCGAUGUUGAUGGGCAGCGAUCACGCGGCCGGCGCCUUAAACCGGCCCCGCCGACUGCUCCCGUCGGGCGAAAGGGAAUCCGGUUCCUAUUCCGGAACCCGGCUGCGGAACCGUCACUUCGCGGGCACUCGCCUGCGAGCGCUCGUCGGGGUAACCCAAAAUGACCCGGAGACGCCGGCGGGAGGUCUGGAAAGAGUUGUCUUUUCUUUAUAAGCGUUCGAGUUCCCUGGAAUCCUAUAGCAGGGAGAUAGGGUUUGGAACGCGAAGAGCACCGCAGUUGCGGCGGUGUCCGGACCUUCCCCCCGGACCUUGAAAAUCCGGGUGAGGGCUACGCGGAAAUGUCGCGCCGGCUCGUACCCAUAUCCGCAGCAGGUCUCCAA